CAUAGGUUUGGUCCUGGCCUUAUAAUUAGUUAGAGGUAAAAUUACACAUGCAAAUAUCCAUAGCCCAGUGUCAAAUCCCGCAGAAUUUAUUUGAAUUCUAAGGAGAGGGCAUCAAGUACAUUAUAUAAUAGCUAAAGACGCCUUGCCUAGCCACGCCCCCACGGGACCCAGCAGUGAUUAAGAUUAAGCAAUGAACGAAAGUUUGACUAAGUUAUACCUCUUCAGGGUUGGUAAAUUUCGUGCCAGCCACCGCGGUCAUACGAUUAACCCAAAUUAAUUAUAAACGGCGUAAAACGUGCUAAUAAUGAUUUAACAAAAUAGAAUUAAAAAUCAACCAAUAUGUGAAAAUUCAUUGUUGAAAUUAAAAUCAAUGACGAAAGUAAUUCUAAUAGAACUAAAGCACGAUAGCUAAGACCCAAACUGGGAUUAGAUACCCCACUAUGCUUAGCCCUAAACUUCAAUAAUUAAAUAACAAAAUUAUUUGCCAGAGGACUACUAGCUACAGCUUAAAACUCAAAGGACUUGGCGGUACUCUAUAUCCAUCUAGAGGAGCCUGUUCUAUAAUCGAUAAACCCCGUUACACCUUACCAUUUCUUGCUAAUUCAGCCUAUAUACCGCCAUCUUCAGCAAACCUCAAAAGAGGAUUAAAGUAAGCACAAGAACAAUCAUAAAAACGUUAGGUCAAGGUGUAGCCUAUGGAAUGGGAAGCAAUGGGCUACAUUUUCUCGAAGAGAACAUAUACGACAUUCUUUAUGAAACUAAAGAAUAAAAGGAGGAUUUAGUAGUAAAUUAAGAAUAGAGAGCUUAAUUGAAUAGAGCAAUGGAGUACGCACACACCGCCCGUCACCCUCUUCAAACUAAAUAAAUAAAUUAGUUUACAUAAAAAUAAUUAUUACAUUUAUUAGAGGAGGUAAGUCGUAACAUGGUAAGCAUACUGGAAAGUGUGCUUGGAAUAA
RNAcentral lists this non-coding RNA (956 nucleotides) under Wiedomys cerradensis (cerrado red-nosed mouse). RNAcentral describes it as "12S ribosomal RNA". It matches the Rfam family "Bacterial small subunit ribosomal RNA". The record is from RNAcentral. Lineage: Eukaryota; Metazoa; Chordata; Mammalia; Rodentia; Cricetidae.